AUGAACCGCACCGCUAGUCUUCAACUUGUCAACUCCGUUCUCACUGCCACACUAACCUUCUUCCUCACUGCCUUUGCACCGGGCAAAUGGGCAAUAAAAAAGUUUGACAAACUUAGAAGAAACUUCCUUUGGAACGCGGACGAAGAGGCACAUGGUGGUAAAUGUUUAGUCAACUGGAAGCGAAUUUGUGCACCCAAAGAUGUGGGCGGCCUCGGGAUCAAGGACUUGGAGGCCUAUAGCCGAGCCCUCCGGUUAAGGUGGCAGUGGUUUGAAUGGGAACCCACGGACAGACCAUGGAAAGGUGCUAGCAUUCCCUGUGACUCCUCUGACCGUCAGCUUUUCGCCUCCUGCACAAAGAUUACCGUGAGAAACGGGAGCAAAACAUCCUUCUGGAUGGAUAAAUGGCUUGAUGGCAAUGCAACAAAAGAUUGUUUCCCAGCUCUCUUUGCCCUUUCUCGCUCAAAAUCAAGCUCGGUCAGGCAUGCUCUACAUCUAUACUACUAUUAA
Molecule: ribosomal RNA, 507 nt
Filed under: Triticum aestivum (bread wheat)
Lineage: Eukaryota; Viridiplantae; Streptophyta; Magnoliopsida; Poales; Poaceae
Description: partial small subunit ribosomal RNA
Source: RNAcentral